Molecule: long non-coding RNA, 863 nt
Organism: Gallus gallus (chicken)
Lineage: Eukaryota; Metazoa; Chordata; Aves; Galliformes; Phasianidae
Source: Ensembl
CCACAAUAAGGUCUCCCUGGAACAUUCUCUUCUCCAAGCUUCUUCCUUCCUUCUUUCUUCCUUCCUGCAAGCUUCUUCUUCUUUCUUCUCCAAGAAUGCAAAGGGAGUUCAGAGAAGCUACCCAGGGCAUGGAAUGUUUGAGCCUGAUGGUGAAAUGUAGAUAUUGAAAUAAGAGGACAAAGGCUUUCUCAACACAGCAUGCAAACCUGGGCCAAAAAGCACCAAGUUUUUUAUUCACAGGAAUCAGAUUUGUGGAUCUGGAUUAGUUCUGGAACAGAGAUACAAUCCUGGAACCUCAAUACAGAUCAACAUCUGUUGCUAGUGACAUUGAAGCUCAUGUUGCGUAUUGGCUGGUGAAAGAGAACAAAGCGAAGUGUCUGCUCUACGUUCUGGAUCCUGUCCAUCUUGCUUCACCAUAUGGAGUGAUAAUGGGCUCUGCUAUUCAGAUCUUAUUUUGUUCUUUGAGAAAUAUGUAAAGGAUGGUAUUUAUUAAAUUCAGUGGAAAGUGUCAAGAACAAGGCUAAGUAUUCUGCAAACUGAGCUUCCUUCAGUGCCUGAACAUCUCUGUAGCUGACUUUCUGGAAGAUUAGGCUCAGCAGCUGUCUGCAUCACACAGUUCUUUAUCCCACAGUUUAAGCUUUUCACAGCCAGCCAAACCAUAAGUUUCUUCAUACUGCCUUGUAAUUUUGCUUGGUAAAAGAAAAGUUUAUUUCCCAUUUUCCAGACACAGCCUGGUGAAUUAUUAAUUAGGUCAAUGGUUUCAGCUUGGGGUCUGGGCUGAUAGAUAUAGAGGUCUAGACUCACAUCUGUUCCAAACUGGGGACAGACAGCACAAUUUAACAGCUUAUGGUUAGAAUGAAAAG